This 253-nucleotide ribosomal RNA is filed under the name uncultured bacterium. RNAcentral describes it as "partial 16S ribosomal RNA". It matches the Rfam family "Bacterial small subunit ribosomal RNA", at positions 524 to 776 of the family's 1533-position model. The record is from RNAcentral.
UACAGAGGGUGCAAGCGUUGUUCGGAAUUAUUGGGCGUAAAGCGCGUGUAGGCGGCUUAGCAAGUCGGGCGUGAAAGCCCUCGGCUCAACCGAGGAAGUGCACCCGAAACUGCUGAGCUUGGGUGCCGGAGAGGAUGGCGGAAUUCCCCAAGUAGAGGUGAAAUUCGUAGAUAUGGGGAGGAACACCGGUGGCGAAGGCGGCCAUCUGGACGGUAACUGACGCUGAGACGCGAAAGCGUGGGUAGCAAACAGG